This 548-nucleotide ribosomal RNA is filed under the name uncultured bacterium. RNAcentral's name for it is "bacterial SSU rRNA". It matches the Rfam family "Bacterial small subunit ribosomal RNA", at positions 848 to 1398 of the family's 1533-position model. The record is from RNAcentral.
CAAGCGAAAGCGUUAAGUAUUCCACCUGGGGAGUACGCCGGCAACGGUGAAACUCAAAGGAAUUGACGGGGGCCCGCACAAGCGGAGGAACAUGUGGUUUAAUUCGAUGAUACGCGAGGAACCUUACCCGGGCUUAAAUUGCAGAUGAAUUACGGUGAAAGCCGUAAGCCGCAAGGCAUCUGUGAAGGUGCUGCAUGGUUGUCGUCAGCUCGUGCCGCGAGGUGUCGGCUUAAGUGCCAUAACGAGCGCAACCCUUGUUGUCAGUUACUAACAGGUUCCGCUGAGGACUCUGACAAGACUGCCAUCGUAAGAUGUGAGGAAGGUGGGGAUGACGUCAAAUCAGCACGGCCCUUACGUCCGGGGCUACACACGUGUUACAAUGGGGGGUACAGAGGGCCGCUACCACGCGAGUGGAUGCCAAUCCCCAAAACCUCUCUCAGUUCGGACUGGAGUCUGCAACCCGACUCCACGAAGCUGGAUUCGCUAGUAAUCGCGCAUCAGCCACGGCGCGGUGAAUACGUUCCCGGGCCUUGUACACACCGCCCGUC